RNAcentral lists this ribosomal RNA (639 nucleotides) under uncultured Actinomycetes bacterium. Its description in RNAcentral is "bacterial SSU rRNA". It matches the Rfam family "Bacterial small subunit ribosomal RNA", at positions 232 to 885 of the family's 1533-position model. Lineage: Bacteria; Bacillati; Actinomycetota; Actinomycetes. The record is from RNAcentral.
CGCGGCCUAUCAGCUUGUUGGUGAGGUAACGGCUCACCAAGGCGACGACGGGUAGCUGUUCUGAGAGGAAGAUCAGCCACACUGGGACUGAGACACGGCCCAGACUCCUACGGGAGGCAGCAGUGGGGAAUCUUGCGCAAUGGGCGAAAGCCUGACGCAGCGAUGCCGCGUGCGGGAAGACGGCCUUCGGGUUGUAAACCGCUUUCAGCAGGGACGAAAUUGACGGUACCUGCAGAAGAAGCUCCGGCCAACUACGUGCCAGCAGCCGCGGUAAGACGUAGGGGGCGAGCGUUGUCCGGAAUUAUUGGGCGUAAAGGGCUCCUAGGCGGUUCAGUAAGUCGACUGUGAAAAUCCAAGGCUCAACCUGGGGACGCCAGUCGAUACUGCUGUGACUCGAGUUCGGUAGAGGAGUGUGGAAUUCCUGGUGUGGCGGUGAAAUGCGCAGAUAUCAGGAGGAACACCAACGGCGAAGGCAGCACUCUGGGCCGAUACUGACGCUGAAGAGCGAAAGCGUGGGGAGCAAACAGGAUUAGACACCCUGGUAGUCCACGCCGUAAACGUUGGGCACUAGGUGUGGGGUCUUAUCAACGGAUUCCGUGCCGCAGCUAACGCACUAAGUGCCCCGCCUGGGGAGUACGG